GGGGAUUUAGCUCAGCGGCAUAAGCGCCUGCCUUGCAAGCAGGCAGUCCUGAGUUCAAUCCCUA
RNAcentral lists this transfer RNA (64 nucleotides) under Cavia porcellus (domestic guinea pig). It matches the Rfam family "tRNA". Rfam says of the family: Transfer RNA (tRNA) molecules are approximately 80 nucleotides in length. Their secondary structure includes four short double-helical elements and three loops (D, anti-codon, and T loops). Further hydrogen bonds mediate the characteristic L-shaped molecular structure. tRNAs have two regions of fundamental functional importance: the anti-codon, which is responsible for specific mRNA codon recognition, and the 3' end, to which the tRNAs corresponding amino acid is attached (by aminoacyl-tRNA synthetases). tRNAs cope with the degeneracy of the genetic code in two manners: having more than one tRNA (with a specific anti-codon) for a particular amino acid; and 'wobble' base-pairing, i.e. permitting non-standard base-pairing at the 3rd anti-codon position. The record is from Rfam by way of RNAcentral. Lineage: Eukaryota; Metazoa; Chordata; Mammalia; Rodentia; Caviidae.